Molecule: ribosomal RNA, 301 nt
Filed under: uncultured bacterium
Lineage: Bacteria
Description: partial 16S ribosomal RNA
Rfam family: Bacterial small subunit ribosomal RNA
Source: RNAcentral
CAGCAGCCGCGGGAAUACGUAGGGUGCAAGCGUUAAUCGGAAUUACUGGGCGUAAAGCGUGCGCAGGCGGUUAUAUAAGACAGAUGUGAAAUCCCCGGGCUCAACCUGGGAACUGCAUUUGUGAAUGUAUAGCUAGAGUACGGCAGAGGGGGAUGGAAUUCCGCGUGUAGCAGUGAAAUGCGUAGAUAUGCGGAGGAACACCGAUGGCGAAGGCAAUCCCCUGGGCCUGUACUGACGCUCAUGCACGAAAGCGUGGGGAGCAAACAGGAUUAGAUACCCCGGUAGUCCCUGUCUCUUAUAC